GACGAACGCUGGCGGCGUGCUUAACACAUGCAAGUCGAGCGGUAAGGCCCCUUCGGGGGUACACGAGCGGCGAACGGGUGAGUAACACGUGGGUGACCUGCCCUCAGCUCUGGGAUAAGCCUGGGAAACUGGGUCUAAUACCGGAUAUGACUCCAUGACGCAUGUCGUGGGGUGGAAAGCCUUGUGCGGCUGGGGAUGGGCCCGCGGCCUAUCAGCUUGUUGGUGGGGUGAUGGCCUACCAAGGCGACGACGGGUAGCCGGCCUGAGAGGGCGACCGGCCACACUGGGGACUGAGACACGGCCCAGACUCCUAUGGGAGGGCAGCAGUGGGGAAUCUUGCGCAAUGGGCGAAAGCCUGACGCAGCGACGCCGCGUGAGGGAUGACGGCCUGGUUGUAACGU
This 401-nucleotide ribosomal RNA is filed under the name uncultured bacterium. Its description in RNAcentral is "bacterial SSU rRNA". It matches the Rfam family "Bacterial small subunit ribosomal RNA", at positions 28 to 431 of the family's 1533-position model. The record is from RNAcentral.